GGGAGAUUCCUGGCGUGCAUCUACUUAAUUUGAAGAAGAACAUCACCUGUCUGUAAUCCACCUGCGUAAGUACUGGUCAAGGGGCUCAUCGGCUAUCAAGUUAUAGAUUUCAGUGGCUAAUAGAAGACACUGCUGAGGUCAGACGAGAGUGCAUCCUCAAAGGUCUGUGUGUGUACCUAAAUGAAGAUCCAGAGAAGCUGGUGAGGGAGUACAUGGACGUUGAUGAAUGAAAUGGUCAAAGCCGAGACUGUCCUCGGAAUCGUCAUUUGAGCAGAGGGUGCAGAGGCUGCCGAUGCACAUCUGGAUGUUGGGAUUGUCCUGGAGGAGGUGGAAGUUAUGAACAGCUUGGGCAGUGUAUCUUCUGCAAUAGUGAUGCUGCUGCGACUUAUCUACGCACUAAACUUGAGCUACCCUCAAGUUUAGUGCGUUCAGCACUCAACUUGCUCAGUAACUCAAGCAUACCUUUGAAGUAAUACAGAAAAUAAUAAUGAAAUUGGAUGGAAAGAACUUAUCAAAGAAAGCACAAGUUCUCAAUAUGAAACUCGCUGCUAAGUUGAGUAAAGUUUCAUAUGGAAAAUGAGUGUUUAAAGUCUGCAGUAGAAAAGAUUUAUA
Long non-coding RNA from Poeciliopsis prolifica (blackstripe livebearer), 612 nucleotides. RefSeq lists it as uncharacterized. The transcript has 4 exons. The record is from RefSeq and is a predicted model, not a curated record. Lineage: Eukaryota; Metazoa; Chordata; Actinopteri; Cyprinodontiformes; Poeciliidae.